ACUCAGUAGAGCUGGUUACUCUUGGACAAGUUAAGAAUGAGAUCAAAAUAGACAGACUGAGUGUUAAACCUAAUUGUUCUCUGGUUAUAAAGAAAGCUGCAGUUGAGGAUGCUGGUCGUUAUACCUGCAGACAAUAUAUAUCAGGGAAACAACGAGGUGAAGAUGCUGUGGUUGAUCUGUCUGUUGUUACUGUGACUGAACAUAAAGACACUGAUCUGGUGACUGUAAACUGCUCUGUGACGACAAAUAGACGAUGCAGACACACAGUGAAGUGGCUUUUUAAGGGUCAAGCUGUGGAUAAUGACAACCCAAACAUAAAGACAUCCCAGUCUUCCUGCUCUGUUACUGUGAGCUUUCUGAAUAAUUUUUGGGGAUCAUCAAUACCAUAUCAUGACUGGUUUAAAUGUAGUGUAUCUACAGAGACUAAAAAAGAGCCACUGACCUUCAGUCUUCGACCAUCAGGUGAGGACACAAAAACAAAAACAACAACAACUGCAAACAACCGAAGAGGUGAUACAACAAUGACAGGACCUGCAAUUGAGGAUGCUACAGCAAAACUACACGGUACAAUGCCAGCAAUUUACUGUCAGUGGAGGAUCAUCAUGGUGCCGUUGGGUUUAGCUGCACUAAUAACAACUACUGUGGCCAUCAGCAUCUGGGCAAGAACUAAAGGGACAAAAACACAGACGGAUGGAAACAGGGUGUGUAAUGAUGAAGAUGAUGGACUUUGAUCCUUCGGCUUCUGUUCAACUCCAUUGAUCAACAUCUUCUUACCAUAUGUUUGGAGGAGUAGUUGGCUGUUUUAUUAGAUUUAUUCAUUUCAGACCAGCUGAUUUAUUGAAUCUCUCUCCUCAGCAGUAUGUAUUUCCUCAUUAGUCCCUCAGUAUAUAUACGACUGAUCCACCAUCAGACUGGGUUUGUGCACUUUACCAGAACUUUCCAGCAUUCAGAGCCUGUUUGUUCUUUAUUUUUGACCUCAGCAUGUAAAUAUGGAACUUGGAGUCUGUUUUCUUUGGUGACAACAUUCAGCUCUACUGUGUG
Amphiprion ocellaris (clown anemonefish) is the source of this 1041-nucleotide long non-coding RNA. The record is from Ensembl. NCBI's taxonomy places the organism in Eukaryota, Metazoa, Chordata, Actinopteri, Pomacentridae.